UACGGGGGGUGCGAGCGUUGUCCGGAAUCACUGGGCGUAAAGGGCGCGUAGGUGGUUUGAUAAGGGUGUGGUGAAAGCCCGGGGCUCAACCCCGGGUCUGCCGUACCGACUGUCAAACUCGAGGGCUGUAGAGGCAGACGGAAUUCCGGGUGUAGCGGUGGAAUGCGUAGAGAUCCGGAGGAAGACCGGUGGCGAAGGCGGUCUGCUGGGCAGUUUCGUGACACUGAUGCGCGACAGCGUGGGGAGCAAACAGGG
Molecule: ribosomal RNA, 255 nt
Filed under: uncultured bacterium
Lineage: Bacteria
Description: partial 16S ribosomal RNA
Rfam family: Bacterial small subunit ribosomal RNA
Source: RNAcentral